UACGUAGGUGGCAAGCGUUAUCCGGAAUUAUUGGGCGUAAAGCGCGCGUAGGCGGCGAGAUUAGUCUGAUGUGAAAGCCCCCGGCUCAACCGGGGAAGGUCAUUGGAAACUGUUUCGCUUGAGUGCAGAAGAGGAGAGUGGAAUUCCAUGUGUAGCGGUGAAAUGCGCAGAGAUAUGGAGGAACACCAGUGGCGAAGGCGACUUACUGGUCUGUGAUUGACGUUGAGGCUCGAAAGCGUGGGUAGCGAACAGG
RNAcentral lists this ribosomal RNA (253 nucleotides) under uncultured bacterium. RNAcentral describes it as "partial 16S ribosomal RNA". It matches the Rfam family "Bacterial small subunit ribosomal RNA", at positions 524 to 776 of the family's 1533-position model. The record is from RNAcentral.